This 1756-nucleotide ribosomal RNA is filed under the name Niphargus wolfi. RNAcentral describes it as "partial 18S ribosomal RNA". It matches the Rfam family "Eukaryotic small subunit ribosomal RNA", at positions 382 to 1798 of the family's 1831-position model. Lineage: Eukaryota; Metazoa; Arthropoda; Malacostraca; Amphipoda; Niphargidae. The record is from RNAcentral.
UCCGGAGAGGCAGCCUGAGAGACGGCUACCACGUCCAAGGACGGCAGCAGGCACGCAAAUUACCCAAUCCCAGCAACUGGGGGAGGUAGUGACGAAAUCUAACGAUGCGGGCGCCCUUUUUGGGGCCCCGCAAUCGGAAUGAGCACUUUCUAAACAACCUGUUGAGAACCUACUGAAGGGCAAGUCUGGUGCCAGCAGCCGCGGUAAUUCCAGCUUCAGCAGCAUCUAUUAAAGUUGCUGCGGUUAAAAGGCUCGCAGUUGAAUGUCAGUAUCGAGCGCAGGUCAGGUGGACGCUGGGGCGUGGGAACACAAGGCGCGGUACGGGCCCUUGCCUCGCGCUUGUGGUACCGGCCGUGUCUCUCACAUACCCCCGUCCGUUACAAGCCUCCUCGCUCGCGUACAUAUCGGAAUUGGUCAAACGGAGUGUGCGCAGUCCCUCUCCGCCCUCGUCCUCGGGCCGCGUUCGCGCGUGUCGGUUGGCGGGUGUGUGUGCGGGGGCUCGCACGUUAAGCUCCUUCGGUUCCAUGGUCACCUUGAGUAAAUCAGAGUGCUCAAAGCAGUCGUAGGGGCCUUGCGCCCUGUGAACAGUCUUGACGGACUGACUUGGUUUUGCAUGGCAUGUCGGAAGACGACGUCGUGUGCUGGCUCAGAGAUGAUCAGUGGUGCAAGCCAGCCUCGACGUACUGAUUAACAGGGACGGUCGAGGGCAUUGGUAUUGCGAGGCGAGAGGUGAAAUUCUAUGACCCCCGCAAGACCUCCUGAAGCGAAAGCGUCUGCCAAGGACGUUUUCAUUAAUCAUGAACGAAAGUUAGAGGAUCGAAGNNNNNNNNNNNNNNNNNNNNNNNNNACCNUAAACGAUGCCAACCAUCAAUCCGCGCGUAGCUCCCAUCUUAACGGGCUCGGCGGGCAGCUCCCCACUCACGGGAAACCAGAGUCUCUGGGUUCCGGGGGGAGUCUGGUUGCAAAGCUGAAACUUAAAGGAAUUGACGGAAAGGCACCACCAGGCGUGGAGCCUGCGGCUUAAUUUGACUCAACACGGGCCAUCUCACCAGGCCAGCACUCUUGUACGAUUGACAGAUUGAGAGCUCUUUCUCGAUUCAGUGGAUGGUGGUGCAUGGCCGUUCUUAGUUGGUGGAGUGAUCUGUCUGGUUAAUUCCGAUAACGAACGAGACUCUCCCCUGCUAACUAGUCGGCUGGAUCUUUAUCGGUGAGUUGUGUGCCGGGAAAACCUGGGUGCGGGCGCGUGGGGUUGCUGCGGUUCUACCAAGGCACUCCCGUGGUUCGUAUCUCGGGCCUCGGGCCACACACUCCAAGUCCGCCGCUUAUUGUAUAACUCUUCUUAGAGGGAUUCACGGUUCUGAAGCCGUCAGAGACUGAGAGCAAUAACAGGUCUGUGAUGCCCUUAGAUGCUCUGGGCCGCACGCGCGCUACAAUGCCGGGCACAGCAGGUGUUUCUCCUGCUCCGACAGGAGCAGGUAACCCUCUGAAAGCCACUGUUUUUGUCGAGUCUGACUCGAAAGGCGUGCUUGGGCCUGGGGCUUGCAAUUCUUUCCCACCAACGAGGAAUGCCUAGUAGCGGCGGGUCACUGAGCCCGCUGUGACUCAGUCCCUGCCCUUUGUACACACCGCCCGUCGCUACUACCGAUUGGGUGUACCAGUGAGAGCCUUGGACUGGCGUCCGUUGCCUUCGGGCAAGCGGGUCCGACGGAAAGAGGUCCGAACUGGUGCACUUAGAGGAAGUAAAAGUCGUAACAAG